RNAcentral lists this ribosomal RNA (779 nucleotides) under uncultured marine bacterium. Its description in RNAcentral is "bacterial SSU rRNA". It matches the Rfam family "Bacterial small subunit ribosomal RNA", at positions 69 to 896 of the family's 1533-position model. The record is from RNAcentral.
GAGUAGCAAUACUCAGUGGCAGACGGGUGAGUAACAUGUAGGUAUCUUCCCUUUGGUGAGGAAUAACACGAGGAAACUUGUGCUAAUACCUCAUAAGUCUUUACGGAGAAAGCUUUAUGCGCCAUUGGAUGAGCCUGCACUUGAUUAGUUUGUUGGUGGGGUAAUGGCCUACCAAGACUUUGAUCAAUAGCUGAUUUGAGAGGAUGAUCAGCCACAUUGGGACUGAGACACGGCCCAAACUCCUACGGGAGGCAGCAGUAGGGAAUCUUGCACAAUGGAGGAAACUCUGAUGCAGCGAUGCCGCGUGAGUGAAGAAGGCCCUUGGGUUGUAAAGCUCUUUCGUCGGGGAAGAAAAUGACUGUACCCGAAUAAGAAGGUCCGGCUAACUUCGUGCCAGCAGCCGCGGUAAUACGAAGGGACCUAGCGUAGUUCGGAAUUACUGGGCUUAAAGAGUUCGUAGGUGGUUAAAAAAGUUGGUGGUGAAAUCCCAGAGCUUAACUCUGGAACUGCCAUCAAAACUUUUUAGCUAGAGUAUGAUAGAGGAAAGCAGAAUUUCUAGUGUAGAGGUGAAAUUCGUAGAUAUUAGAAAGAAUACCAAUUGCGAAGGCAGCUUUCUGGAUCAUUACUGACACUGAGGAACGAAAGCAUGGGUAGCGAAGAGGAUUAGAUACCCUCGUAGUCCAUGCCGUAAACGAUGUGUGUUAGACGUUGGAAAUUUAUUUUCAGUGUCGCAGCGAAAGCAAUAAACACACCGCCUGGGGAGUACGACCGCAAGGGUU